GAAAUGCGAUAACUAGUGUGAAUUGCAGAAUUCCGUGAAUCAUCGAGUCUUUGAACGCACAUUGCGCACCCUGGUAUUCCGGGGGGCAUGCCUGUCCGAGCGUCAUUGCUGCCCAUCAAGCACGGCUUGUGUGUUGGGUCGUCGUCCCCUCUCCGGGGGGGACGGGCCCCAAAGGCAGCGGCGGCACCGCGUCCGAUCCUCGAGCGUAUGGGGCUUUGUCACCCGCUCUGUAGGCCCGGCCGGCGCUUGCCGAACGCAAAUCAAUCUUUUUCCAGGUUGACCUCGGAUCAGGUAGGGAUACCCGCUGAACUUAAGC
This 316-nucleotide unclassified non-coding RNA is filed under the name plant metagenome. RNAcentral describes it as "partial contains 5.8S ribosomal RNA, internal transcribed spacer 2, and large subunit ribosomal RNA". The stretch from base 1 to 105 matches the Rfam family "5.8S ribosomal RNA", at positions 50 to 154 of the family's 154-position model. The record is from RNAcentral.